This 1024-nucleotide long non-coding RNA is filed under the name Sus scrofa (pig). RNAcentral describes it as "lncRNA (ENSSSCG00055025960.1)". The record is from RNAcentral. Lineage: Eukaryota; Metazoa; Chordata; Mammalia; Artiodactyla; Suidae.
CCAUCACCUUCUGGACAAAGCAGAGCAUGAAGCAGAGCUUUUUGGCAUUUAAAAAACUCCCUGUCUCCAAGCUUCAAAACUCUCAAGGUAUAUCAUUUGCAUGAUGAAGGGAUAAGAAAAUUAUGAACCGUCUGUGAAGAAUCGCAGGUGGACAGACCGAUCUCUUGAGAUGAGCUUUCCACUUCAGCUAUCCAACCUCUUUUGACCAGAGUUCAUUUGGCCAUGCUGCCUAGUAGUAGAUUUUUUUUUUUUUUAAUUUACUGAACAGAUCCAAUCAACGUGUGGUUUUCAGCCUCACAUGCAAAAGGUAAGCCCAGACAAGUGAUAGGAAUUGCUUCAAAUCAAGGAAUGAUUUUCAACAGCAAAGUCAAGUCCCAGCUUCCAGGACCCACUGUCAUCACUUUAGGAGGAAGAAAAAAAUACCAACUAUGUUUGGCUAGGCUUGACAGAGAAAGAAACGUAAGGCGGGCCCUCAUUUUCAUCUCCUGAAAGCGUCUCAUGCCCAGGCUCUCGGUAGCUUCUGUUUUCUCUCUCCUGGGCUCACGGGGUGGGCUUCUGGAUACAGGAGCAACGGGGAACCUCUGAGCAUCAACUUGAAAAAGCAGAGCUGCAAAAAGGGGGAAGAAUGGGAUGCUUUCCAAGCAGGAGGACGUUGGGGGUAUGAUACUUAGACACUAGAAGAUUUCAGAGGGAGGAGAAGUCCUAAGGCAGUUUGCUUGCCUGGAAAGAAGGCAACUGCAAAAGAACGCCCUCAGGAGAAGGAGCGCAAACGCAGGGAGCCCAAGGCGGCUUCUGUGCCGGUUUCCUUUUGAGAAAGGGCCAGUUGGAAGCUGAUGUCUGAGCAGCACGAGAUGGGGUGAGGAGGCCAAGAAUGCAGAGGACACUGAUGCACAGAAGGGGAGACGGGAAGUAUCCCCAGUCUCAAACCCUCCCCAAUUCCGCCCAGGGUCCACGCCGCCUGAGAGGGGGAAUCAGAGAUGGGCCCCCUCAGAUCCUCUUCAAACUGUGCUCAGCUUCUAACUCC